GGAUGUGAGUGUGAUCUGCCUGCGACCUCUGUCACCCCACUAAUUGCCAAUGUUGAUUCAGCUGAUCUGGCUGGCUGGGCGGCAUCCUCUUCCUCUCUCAGCGCUCCAUGUGUGUCCCUCCUGAGGCUGUGUACUCUGUCGAGGAGGAUGAUCACCCCCGACAGAGGAAGACUGUUCUUUGGUCAAGGGUAUUUGAGGAGCUGUGCUUCACUGCUAGAACCUCAAACAAGCUCUCAAGGAAUAGGAUUUAGAUGCAAGUGCCAAAUAUUU
RNAcentral lists this small nuclear RNA (270 nucleotides) under Chinchilla lanigera (long-tailed chinchilla). RNAcentral describes it as "7SK RNA (ENSCLAG00000022060.1)". It matches the Rfam family "7SK RNA", at positions 1 to 284 of the family's 331-position model. Rfam says of the family: 7SK was discovered as an abundant small nuclear RNA in the mid-70s but a possible function has only recently been suggested. Two independent studies have found that 7SK RNA binds the CDK9/cyclin T complex (known as elongation factor P-TEFb). The record is from Rfam by way of RNAcentral. Lineage: Eukaryota; Metazoa; Chordata; Mammalia; Rodentia; Chinchillidae.